CCUACGGGAGGCAGCAGUGAGGAAUAUUGGUCAAUGGGCGGGAGCCUGAACCAGCCAAGUCGCGUGAGGGACGACGGUCCUAUGGAUUGUAAACCUCUUUUGUCGGGGAACAAAGGCGCCCACGGGUGGGCGGGUGAGUGUACCCGAAGAAAAAGCAUCGGCUAACUCCGUGCCAGCAGCCGCGGUAAUACGGAGGAUGCGAGCGUUAUCCGGAUUUAUUGGGUUUAAAGGGUGCGUAGGCGGACAGUCAAGUCAGCGGUAAAAAUGCGGUGCUCAACGCCGUACAGCCGUUGAAACUGGCAGUCUGGAGUGGGCGAGAAGUAUGCGGAAUGCGUGGUGUAGCGGUGAAAUGCAUAGAUAUCACGCAGAACUCCGAUUGCGAAGGCAGCAUACCGGCGCCCGACUGACGCUGAGGCACGAAAGCGUGGGUAUCGAACAGGAUUAGAUACCCCUGUAGUC
Molecule: ribosomal RNA, 459 nt
Filed under: uncultured bacterium
Lineage: Bacteria
Description: partial 16S ribosomal RNA
Rfam family: Bacterial small subunit ribosomal RNA
Source: RNAcentral